Molecule: long non-coding RNA, 844 nt
Organism: Catharus ustulatus (Swainson's thrush)
Lineage: Eukaryota; Metazoa; Chordata; Aves; Passeriformes; Turdidae
Exons: 2
Source: RefSeq, a predicted model, not a curated record
GGCGCGGGGCUCCGGGAGAGCGGGAUCGGCGCGGCGGAGAGCCGCUCGCUUCCCCUGCCUGCCCCGAGGGAGGUGCAGAGCCCCGCUCAGACAGGCGCCUCGAACACAAUAGCGUUUAUUAAACAAAGAAAAUGCCUCUGGGAAGAAUGGGAGGGAGGGAGAGCAGCAAUUGGGAGGGGGAGAAGGGUCUGGAAGUGAUCAGGAUGGAGCAGCCAGCCGGAGCAGCUCGCCCCGGCAGCCGCCGGCCGGAGGAGCCAGCCCCGAGUCCCGGCGGGGCUGGGGGUGUUCCCUGCCCGCGCCCCGGGGGUGCGAGAGGCACCCGCGUCCCCUCCGCAGGCACCGGGGAGGGGGGCGGCGCUGGCAGCCCAUAGGACCUGUCGCUCCCGGCAGCCAGUCAAAGGCUGGCUUAGCUGUCACGACAACUGCGGCUUUUGAAACGAUGCCGUGAACCUGCCAUCAGAAAGACAGCCGCAGACGGAUGUCUUGCAUCUUCUCAUCACUUGUUCAAGAUUGCCUAGCUCUGGACCAGCAGAAAGGAUUGUGCACCAAGUCUGGAUUUCUCCAGCAGCAGGGCUGCAAAUAAGUUUCUAUCAGAGACAAACCUGCAAUUUCUUCCUUUGCCGCUCUUUUUGCUGUUGUAUAUGUGUGCUCUUGUUUUGCCCUAAAAGAAAAGAAAAAAUGGAGAAAACAUAAUAGGAUUCCAGUGCCUGUAGCUCUAGCAGCAGUACUAAUGUGUUCUUCCCUAAAAAGAGAAAACAAAUUCUUAUACCAUUUAAAGAUGUCAGAAGCCUUUCCACAUUAAAAAAGCCUGUUGACAAAGGGAUAAAGUGAUUAUUUAAUGAAA